UACGUAGGGUGCGAGCGUUAAUCGGAAUUACUGGGCGUAAAGCGUGCGCAGGCGGUUAUGCAAGACAGAUGUGAAAUCCCCGGGCUCAACCUGGGAACUGCAUUUGUGACUGCAUAGCUAGAGUGCGGCAGAGGGGGAUGGAAUUCCGCGUGUAGCAGUGAAAUGCGUAGAUAUGCGGAGGAACACCGAUGGCGAAGGCAAUCCCCUGGGCCUGCACUGACGCUCAUGCACGAAAGCGUAAAAAGCAAAC
Molecule: ribosomal RNA, 250 nt
Filed under: uncultured bacterium
Lineage: Bacteria
Description: partial 16S ribosomal RNA
Rfam family: Bacterial small subunit ribosomal RNA
Source: RNAcentral